Small nuclear RNA from Podarcis raffonei (Aeolian wall lizard), 102 nucleotides. The record is from RefSeq and is a predicted model, not a curated record. Lineage: Eukaryota; Metazoa; Chordata; Lepidosauria; Squamata; Lacertidae.
GCGCUCGCUUCGGCAGCACAUAUACUAAAAUUGGAAUGAUGCAGAGAAGCAUAGCCCCUGCGCAAGGAUGACACGCAAAUUUGUGAAGCGUUCCAUAUUUUA